This 1497-nucleotide long non-coding RNA is filed under the name Dromaius novaehollandiae (emu). Its description in RNAcentral is "lncRNA (ENSDNVG00000013804.1)". The record is from RNAcentral. Lineage: Eukaryota; Metazoa; Chordata; Aves; Casuariiformes; Dromaiidae.
CACCAGCAUGGACCUGCUGGGGUGCAGGCACAGGUCAGUGGGCUGGAAAAAAAGCCUUUCUAUAUGCAGCCAGGCGUACGUUCCUCCUCACCUGUGCCAGAUCCCGCCUGAACGCACCGUCCAKGUCAGAGCAAAGCAAGGGCACUUCCUCCAGGUCUCUUCCCUGGCUGCAUGAAGCAGCUCUGCAUCACUUCCCAGUCUCAUGGGUGCCAGUGAAGGGACAUUUAGGGUAGUACAAAGCAGAGCAGCCCAGAACGGCUCCAGACUGGGCUCCGAGGAUUUUCAUUUGGGGCUCUGGAAGCUUUGAGCCUGGCAGCAAAACUGGCGCCGCGCAAGGUUUACGGGGGCUGGGGUAAAGCAGGCUGCCGGGCUGUUCCCACUGCAAAAAGGCCAGGCACAGCCGGGCGACGGCUGCAGCGUCUCCGCGAAAGCAAAGCUCCUGGGAGCACCAAAACCUGCGCAGCACCGAGCGGCCGAGAGCCCGAGCAGGGGUAGCCGGCCCCCACCCGGGUUUUACGUGCCACAUCUCCCUUGUCCUUCUGCAAGUUUCCUCCUGCUCCAGGGCCUUUCACUAGUCUGGUGCUGGGGGAGUCUGUCACUGAUUAAUACCUCCAUUAAAUAUUACCGCCCAGCCUGGAGGGGGUCAGCGUGUGCCCUCGCUGAACGCCCGCUCCUGCGCGGCCUGGGCUCUCGGCAUGCCUUGCCCUCCCCGCUCCGCGUUUCCCUCCCGUCGGGGCUGAGCAGCCAGGAAAUGAAGGAGACGGAGCAGCAGGGCAAAGAGCAGCAACCUGCGCCGCCGGGCCGGUUCGCUCGGGGGCCGAACCAUGCGGAGAGCUGGGGGCAGAGGGGGGCCGGUGCCUUCGCAGCGCGAGGGGUCGGCAAAUCUCAGCCCCUCGCUCGGUGCCAGCGCAGGGCCCCCGCGGGCCUCCCGCCUCGCAGCUGCCGUGCACCGCGGGAGCUGAGGCUGGGAGCGCCGUGACAGCGAUGAGCCCUGGGAGAGCAGAGGGAACAAAGGCGCUGCGGAGCGACGGGAGUGCACUGCCAGUUCCCACCGAGACCAGCCCUUUGUGAGCGCUGAAAAGGAGCCGCCAGGGCAAAAGAAAGGACAGGCUCCAAGGAGAUCUGCAGGGGAGGAGAAGGGAGCUGGGAGGUUUCCAGGAAGUGCCCUAAGUAAAUAGUUACGCUUGCAUAUAUUUGCAAUCGCUUGAAUAGGACUUUUCUUUCUCCUUGGGGGAAGGGUGGAAAACAACUUCCCGGGACCGCCGCGGAGGUGAUGGGCGCUCGGAGACAAAGGUGGCGGCGGAGGGACCACGGAGCCGGCUGGCACAGGCGCCGUCCUUGUGUUCGCAGGCCCGGCAGGGAGCCCAGCGCAUCCCCUCUUAUCCGCUCCCCGAGCGAGGCCAGCGGCGUUUCCUAGCAGGCGCUGCCAGGAUAUGGGCCACGAGGCCGAGGGCCGCGCGGAGAGUGGGGAUGGAGCCAGGCAAUGAGCUGUCCUUG